This 274-nucleotide ribosomal RNA is filed under the name uncultured bacterium. Its description in RNAcentral is "partial 16S ribosomal RNA". It matches the Rfam family "Archaeal small subunit ribosomal RNA", at positions 473 to 747 of the family's 1478-position model. The record is from RNAcentral.
AAACCAGCACCUCAAGUGGUCAGGAUGAUUAUUGGGCCUAAAGCAUCCGUAGCCGGCUCUGUAAGUUUUCGGUUAAAUCUGUACGCUCAACGUACAGGCUGCCGGAAAUACUGCAGAGCUAGGGAGUGGGAGAGGUAGACGGUACUCGGGAGGAAGUGGUAAAAUGCUUUGAUCUCUCGAUGACCACCUGUGGCGAAGGCGGUCUACCAGAACACGUCCGACGGUGAGGGAUGAAAGCUGGGGGAGCAAACCGGAUUAGAAACCCCAGUAGUCC